CCACAUUGGUAAUCUCCGAGCUUGGGCUCGGCGAAUUGUAAUCUGAAGAUCGCUAGUCUAAUUGGAUCAGGCGUCAAAGUGCGCACGAGCGCGCCGCCAUAGAGGGUGAGAGCCCCGUACGACGCAGGAUCCUACCAAGGCUGGUGUUCGAAGAGUCGUGUACUUUGAUACUAGUGCACUAAGCGGGAGAUAAACUUCUUCUAAGGCUAAAUAUAAGUAGGAAACCGAUAGCGAACAAGUACUGUGAAGGAAAGAUGAAAAGCACUUUGGAAAGAAAGUUAAAAGACUUGAAAUCGUUGAGGCGGACCCGGUAGAAAUGUAUUCUAGCGAAGCGCUCUGGGAAGCCUCUACGGGGGCCACUUGAGCGCUAGCCGAGACAAGAUGGAGUCGCCUGAUGCCAGAGGCUGUGUGCGAGCGUGCUUGCAUGAGCGCAUGCUAGUCGGGUGUUAGGCGGCUUGAGGGGCCUUGAGCGAUCUUGUCAAAAUGGUUUUUACCGACUCCUCUUGAAACACGAACCAAGGAGUCUAAGACUAACGCGAGUAUGGUGGUGGAGAAACCAACAUGCGAAAUGAAAGUAAAUGAUGCCAAGCUCCCUGCAGCAUCGACCGACUUUUUUCUAUUGGAAGAGGUUUGAGUAAGAG
This 641-nucleotide ribosomal RNA is filed under the name Tintinnopsis baltica. Its description in RNAcentral is "LSU rRNA". It matches the Rfam family "Eukaryotic large subunit ribosomal RNA", at positions 109 to 800 of the family's 3401-position model. The record is from RNAcentral. Lineage: Eukaryota; Ciliophora; Spirotrichea; Tintinnida; Codonellidae.